AGGUGGAGUGGCUGGAGGUGCUCGGGGCUUUGAAGGGAGAGUUCAGGGAGAAGUCGUGACUGAGAGGUGAAGAGACAAGACAUGCCUGCUGUCUGCUCCAGGGCUCUCUGGACCCCUAUUCCUGGGCCCUGAGCUCCAAGCAAGACCUGAGACACUGUGCUCUUCAGGCAGCCUUCUCGGACCAGACCCGCUGUCACUGGUCCCCUGGAAUGCACGAGCGGCGGCUGGAACAUGGUGGGUGCUUCAUGAAUGGGACAGCCCAGUCCUCGGCUUCUCCACGGGUCCCAGUGGAGAUCUGAUUUGCCCCCUCACUGCAGGUGGACCUCAAGAUCUGGACGGAUGCUGCACCUGAAGCACUAUGGUGAUUCCUAGGACUUGAUUGGAGUUGCAUUGAAUCUACAGAUUAACUUUGAGGAGAACUAACAUCCUUAUAAUUUUGGAGAGAAUUGACAUCUUUAUAAUUUUGUGUAUUCCAAACCAUAAAUAGGAUGUCUCUCUCCAUUUAUUUAACUCACUGAGAAAGGCAACAUAAUACAAGAUUAAGAGUGCGGAUUCUAUAGCCAAACUGCCUGAGUUCAAAUCCCAGCUCUGUCAGUAGAUCUGUAACUUUGUGAGAGUUUCUGGUUCCCUUGCAUGUAGAUGCAAUGAUUAUAAUAACAUAGGAGUGGUUGUGAGGAUUUAGUAGGUUAAUAAUUGUAAAGCAGGAGAACC
This 711-nucleotide long non-coding RNA is filed under the name Equus asinus (donkey). RNAcentral's name for it is "lncRNA (ENSEASG00005029504.1)". The record is from RNAcentral. Lineage: Eukaryota; Metazoa; Chordata; Mammalia; Perissodactyla; Equidae.